Molecule: ribosomal RNA, 539 nt
Filed under: uncultured Actinomycetes bacterium
Lineage: Bacteria; Bacillati; Actinomycetota; Actinomycetes
Description: bacterial SSU rRNA
Rfam family: Bacterial small subunit ribosomal RNA
Source: RNAcentral
UACCGGAUAGGAGCUCCUGCUGCAUGGUGGGGGUUGGAAAGUUUCGGCGGUUGGGGAUGGACUCACGGCUUAUCAGCUUGUUGGUGGGGUAGUGGCUUACCAAGGCUUUGACGGGUAGCCGGCCUGAGAGGGUGACCGGCCACAUUGGGACUGAGAUACGGCCCAGACUCCUACGGGAGGCAGCAGUGGGGAAUAUUGCACAAUGGCCGGAAGCCUGAUGCAGCAACCCCGCGUGCGGGAUGACGGCCUUCGGGUUGUAAACCGCUUUCGCCUGUGACGAAGCGUGAGUGACGGUAAUGGGUAAAGAAGCACCGGCUAACUACGUGCCAGCAGCCGCGGUGAUACGUAGGGUGCGAGCGUUGUCCGGAUUUAUUGGGCGUAAAGGGCUCGUAGGUGGUUGAUCGCGUCGGAAGUGUAAUCUUGGGGCUUAACCCUGAGCGUGCUUUCGAUACGGGUUGACUUGAGGAAGGUAGGGGAGAAUGGAAUUCCUGGUGGAGCGGUGGAAUGCGCAGAUAUCAGGAGGACACCAGUGGCGAAGG